UUCCGCCUACGGGGGGCAGCAGUGGGGAAUAUUGCACAAUGGGGGAAACCCUGAUGCAGCGACGCCGCGUGAGUGAAGAAGUAUUUCGGUAUGUAAAGCUCUAUCAGCAGGAACGAGACAAGACGGUACCUGACUAAGAAGCCCCGGCUAACUACGUGCCAGCAGCCGCGGUAAUACGUAGGGGGCAAGCGUUAUCCGGAAUCACUGGGUGUAAGGGGAGCGUAGACGGCAUGGCAAGCCUGAAGUGAAAGCCCGGGGCUCAACCGCGGGACUGCUUUGGAAACUGUUAAGCUGGAGUGCAGGAG
This 305-nucleotide ribosomal RNA is filed under the name uncultured bacterium. Its description in RNAcentral is "bacterial SSU rRNA". It matches the Rfam family "Bacterial small subunit ribosomal RNA", at positions 333 to 654 of the family's 1533-position model. The record is from RNAcentral.